This is a long non-coding RNA of Salvia splendens (bonfire salvia), 1166 nucleotides long. RefSeq lists it as uncharacterized. The transcript has 3 exons. The record is from RefSeq and is a predicted model, not a curated record. Lineage: Eukaryota; Viridiplantae; Streptophyta; Magnoliopsida; Lamiales; Lamiaceae.
GAUAUGCCUAGAUAUUGCCUCCUAUCGGACUCUAUCCAACUGUUUGGUUGCACUGAUAUACUAACCUACUGACUCGGGGAAAAAAUGUUAACCCGGUAGCAUUUACGAUAGCUACCUGCACUUCAGCGUAUAUGGCUAACAAGGGAUUUAUCAGCGAUAGCCCUCAAUCUCAAUGUUCCCGUUUGUCGAAAUUCACCACAGUCACCAUUAUACCCCUCCAAUUCAUCCAUCAUUUUUGAACCACAAGCUGCUGCGAAAAAAAAUUGGUUGUCCUCGAACGAAUUGUGCCACCGCCGUCGACGACUUUAGGUUGAAAUAAUUGAACCUGGGCUCGAUUCUCAGUUCAACCCCAUGGCUAAUGAAGAGGAAUUUCACAAGGCGUGAGGAGAUGAGCCCUGAACAUGUAAGAUAUUGUCGUGCGUCUUCACUUUCAAUGACGCCCAUAUCCUUGGUUUUUUUCCUUCACUAGGUUGCCCGUUAGGCGUGAGGAGAUGACAUCCGUCUUGAUUUUUGCUAGAGGAGAUAUUAAGGAACUACCAAAUUAAUAUGUUUGCCGUGUUGAAGAUGCGAUGGGGUAUACUUCGGUCCGCAAGUUUCUACCCAAUUGAGGUACAAACGGGCUUGAUUAUCGCAUGUUUCCUACUUCACAAUUUCAUUCGUAGUCAAAUGCCGGUUGAUCCGAUCGAGAUGGAGUUGGGCAACCAAGACGACAAUGAGGCCGAAACGGAUCCUCAACAAGCGGUUGGUGACCAAGAAGUUGGUGAUCAUAUCAACUGUGUGGAACCUUCGGGAAGGAGGGCCGAGGGAAGGAGAACAACACAAGACGUACCUGAGUAGGUCACGAUGAAACGGUGGAUGGCUAGCAAUCUUGCCCGACACAACAGCUGCACUCGGUGAAGUGGAAUGUGGGAGAGGCGUGCGAAUUCAAUGUAUGCGGGUGUUUAAGUUGAGCCAAAAAUGAAAUAGGGUUUGCAAGGAUAAAACUGUCACUACAAUAAUCUUAGAAGGGCAAAUUUGUCUAUGUAUUUUUGUAUCGGCAGUUUCUGCAGUCCAAAUCAAACAUAAUAUAAGUUAUCAUGGGGUUGCUGUCGGUGCAACCAAACAUCGAAGUGAGAUACAUAUCUCACCACAUUAUCAUGUAAAAUCAAUGUAAGGAGGCUAUCUCA